UUUCUGAUUCUUAAAAUUUUUUGUAACGAAACAAUUCUGGUUUCUUGAAAAUGAGAGGAAAAUGUUUUUGAGAAUUUAGGGGAACACGUUUUUGUCCGUUUGAAGUUUGGAAAGAAUUACAUUUGGAUUCAUUGAUUUUGGAGGAAUCACGUUUGGUUUUGAAAGUAGAACGUUUCUGCUUUGUUUUAAAAUGGAACGUUUUCAAUAAUGCCAAAGGCAGAUCUUAUUCUUUUUGUAAUCCUUUUCAAGGC
Molecule: long non-coding RNA, 251 nt
Filed under: Nicotiana benthamiana
Lineage: Eukaryota; Viridiplantae; Streptophyta; Magnoliopsida; Solanales; Solanaceae
Description: long non-coding RNA (NBEN_LNC024406)
Source: RNAcentral